UGGGGAAUAUUGCACAAUGGAGGGAACUCUGAUGCAGCGACGCCGCGUGAGUGAUGAAGGAAUUCGUUUCGUAAAACUCUGUUCUAUGGGAAGAAAAGGACUGUACCAUAGGAGAAAGCUCCGGCUAAAUACGUGCCAGCAGCCGCGGUAAUACGUAUGGAGCGAGCGUUGUCCGGAAUUAUUGGGCGUAAAGGGUGCGCAGGCGGCUUUACAAGUUGGAUGUGAAAUAUUGUGGCUCAACCACAAACGUGCAUCCAAAACUGCAAAGCUUGAGUUAAGGAGAGGUAAGUGGAAUUCCUGGUGUAGCGGUGGAAAGCGUAGAUAUCAGGAGGAAUACCGGUGGCGAAGGCGACUUACUGGACUUAAACUGACGCUCAGGCACGAAAGCGUGGGGAGCAAACAGG
This 404-nucleotide ribosomal RNA is filed under the name Fusobacteriota bacterium. RNAcentral's name for it is "Fusobacteria bacterium partial 16S ribosomal RNA". It matches the Rfam family "Bacterial small subunit ribosomal RNA", at positions 355 to 776 of the family's 1533-position model. Lineage: Bacteria; Fusobacteriati; Fusobacteriota. The record is from RNAcentral.